RNAcentral lists this transfer RNA (87 nucleotides) under Angelakisella sp. RNAcentral describes it as "tRNA-Leu". It matches the Rfam family "tRNA". From Rfam's summary of the family: Transfer RNA (tRNA) molecules are approximately 80 nucleotides in length. Their secondary structure includes four short double-helical elements and three loops (D, anti-codon, and T loops). Lineage: Bacteria; Bacillati; Bacillota; Clostridia; Eubacteriales; Oscillospiraceae. The record is from RNAcentral.
GCCGCCGUGACGAAAUCGGCAUACGUAGCAGACUUAAAAUCUGCCGGAGGUAACUCCUUACGGGUUCAAGUCCCGUCGGCGGCACCA